Molecule: long non-coding RNA, 345 nt
Organism: Limulus polyphemus (Atlantic horseshoe crab)
Lineage: Eukaryota; Metazoa; Arthropoda; Merostomata; Xiphosura; Limulidae
Exons: 3
Source: RefSeq, a predicted model, not a curated record
GUUAUUUUGUUACAUUACUAGAAUUGUGGCAGUCCUGGAAGCAGUCAUCAAAGUUUAUACCUUUACCCAGAACCCACAGCAAGUCCAUGUGUUUGAAACAUGUGCAAACCCAAAAGGUCUCUGUGUGUUAUGUCCCAAUAGCAACAAUUCUCUCCUAGCAUUUCCUGGAAGAAAGACGGGACACGUACAAAUUGUCGACUUGGCCAACACUGAAAAAGCACCACUUGACAUCCCAGCUCACGAGGCAGCUCUAAGCUGUAUAGCUCUUAAUCUUCCAGGCUCAAAAUUGGCCACAGCUUCAGAAAAAGGUACCCUCAUCCGAGUGUUUGACACAAUGACGGGAAG